AGCAAGCAGUUGUUUAAUCUCAUAAUGAUGCUCCAGUGCACAAAUGCAGACACCUCACACAACCAACAUCAGAUAAUAUUUAAUCAUAUAUAUCUAAUGGCUAUAAUGUAAAAUACAGGAUCCAACACUAUUCAAGUAAGUAAGUAAAUAGAUUUUGAAAAUGGAAAAAAAAUGAUUAUAUUAUUAGCUAACUAGCUACAGUGCAGGCUAACUCAAAUGAGCUGCUAAAUGAGCUAUCUAGACAACUUCAAAUACUGUAUAGAUAGCUAGCUAAGUGAAUUAAAUAUCACCAGCUACCUAACUUCAUAUUAGCUAGCUAUCUUGAUGUAUUUAUCACUGUAAAAAACAAACUCCAAAUGCAUUUGUAGGUAGCUAGCUAACAGCCAUGGAGGAGGGUGAAAGGAUAGCAGCCCCAACUGUCAGUGAGAGAGGAGGCUAUUCUGGAUAGGGCAGGUACUUUUGUGUAGUUCCUGGCCCUAGAAGUGAAGACGGAGAUAAUAGGACCAAAAUAUUCAGUGUGGUGUAAUUUGACUAGAAUGAAGUCUGUUUCUUGUGAGGUUUUCUGUCCUAAAGAGCGCUAUGAAAGCCAGUCUACAUAUGAAGAGGUCCCAAUGAAGAGCAGUGGUUCUCAGUCCUGGGGACUCAAAGAGGCACAUUGUUGUUUUUGCCUCAGCACUGCACAGCUGAUUCAAAUGAUCAACUCAUCAUCAAGCUUUGAGUAGUAUUUAUGUAUUCAUUUGUGAUGCUAUCCUUGAUAUGAUCCUGUUAUUGUCACAUGCUACACAUGUACAUAUGUGUGUCCAUGCAUCUAUCAAUCCAAUGUUGUCAUGAUUUGUUAUCAGGGAUAUUAUACUUUAGUAAUCCACAAUGACCUGGUGAUGUAACAGUCUAAUAAUUACAUUGUCUUCCAUAUUCCUACAGAUACCUUGUAACUGGAGAUUCCUUCAAAACUAUUGCCUACAGUUACCGUGUAGGGCACUGCAAGGUUGGGUGACCAGGGUCAUCUGGGACUGCCUCCUGGAGGAAUUCAGGUGUGUGAAGGCUACCGUGAAGAAUAGUUAUAUCAGCUGUGUCGGUGAACCCCUCCUGCAUCUGAACUGGUUACAUAGAGGACACAGCAUGAUCAGAUAUAUGUUUUGUUGUGAGAGGAUGCCAACCCCCAGUCCCAUCAUCGCCACCUCACCUGCUUUUAAGAUAACCUUUGGGCCGACUAGAGACACUAUUAUGUAAUUGUGAUGAACUGAGAGAAUAUUUAGGUAGCACUGUGAUUCAUUAAUCACGUGCUGCCUUCCCUGCUCCUAUGUGUUUACCUCUUUCCCUUUCUGUCUUUUACACCUCUCCCACCACCUACUCUUUCUUCCUCUGUUUUUAUAAUUCACAACAGAUGUGCACUGAAGUACAGAUUGAACUUGUAUUUAUAACACUUGGAUAAUGAGCUUUUCAAUAAAGCGUUUCACAUUCUCUACUGGUUGAAAUGAAGUGUAAUGUGAUGAAAUACUCCACCUAUCCUGUGUUUAUCAGAUCAAUGCAGAUGAAGGACAUUAGAUGUUGAGAUG
This is a long non-coding RNA of Oncorhynchus tshawytscha (Chinook salmon), 1556 nucleotides long. RefSeq lists it as uncharacterized. The record is from RefSeq and is a predicted model, not a curated record. NCBI's taxonomy places the organism in Eukaryota, Metazoa, Chordata, Actinopteri, Salmoniformes, Salmonidae. The transcript is spliced from 3 exons.